RNAcentral lists this non-coding RNA (76 nucleotides) under Sphingobacterium alimentarium. The record is from RNAcentral. Lineage: Bacteria; Pseudomonadati; Bacteroidota; Sphingobacteriia; Sphingobacteriales; Sphingobacteriaceae.
AAAAGCCGUAUGAAGUGAGAGCUUCACGUACGGUUUUGUGAGAGAUUUGGGGUGAAAUUCCCCUUAUCUACUCGAC